AUUGAACGCUGGCGGCAGGCCUAACACAUGCAAGUCGAGCGAGCGGCGGACGGGUGAGUAAUGUAUGGGGACUGCCCGAUAGAGGGGGAUAACUACUGGAAACGGUAGCUAAUACCGCAUACUAUCGGAUAACCCAUAUGGGAUUAGCUAGUAGGUGGGGUAACGGCUCACCUAGGCGACGAUCCCUAGCUGGUCUGAGAGGAUGACCAGCCACACUGGAACUGAGACACGGUCCAGACUCCUACGGAGGCAGCAGUGGGGAAUAUUGCACAAUGGGCGCAAACCUGAUGCAGCCAUGCCGCGUGUAUGAAGAAGGCCUUCGGGUUGUAAAGUACUUUCAGCGAGGAGGCGUUACUCGCAGAAGAAGCACCGGCUAACUCCGUGCCAGCAGCCGCGGUAAUAC
RNAcentral lists this ribosomal RNA (403 nucleotides) under uncultured bacterium. Its description in RNAcentral is "partial 16S ribosomal RNA". It matches the Rfam family "Bacterial small subunit ribosomal RNA", at positions 30 to 526 of the family's 1533-position model. The record is from RNAcentral.